UGCAUGGUGGCUUAGUGGUUAGCAUGGUCGCCUCACACCCCCAGGGUCGGGGUUUGAUUCCCACCUGUGUGU
Ameiurus melas (black bullhead) is the source of this 72-nucleotide non-coding RNA. The record is from the annotation of a GenBank genome assembly. NCBI's taxonomy places the organism in Eukaryota, Metazoa, Chordata, Actinopteri, Siluriformes, Ictaluridae.